GCUGGGUGCAGUGGCCUGUGCCUGUAGCCCCGGCUACUCGGGAGGCUGAGGCUGGAGGACCACUUGAGUUCAGGAGUUCCGGGUUGUGGUGUGCUAUGCCGAUCAGGUGUCUGCACUAAGUUUGAUAUCAAUAUAGUGACCUCCCGGGAGCGGAGGACCACCAGGUUACCUAAGGAGGGGUGAACCAGCCCAGGUCGGAAACGGAGCAGAUCAAAACUCUCGUGCUGGCUGGACGCGGUGGCUCAAGCCUGUAAUCCCAGCACUUUGGGAGGCCGAGGCGGGUGGAUCA
This 289-nucleotide signal recognition particle RNA is filed under the name Saimiri boliviensis boliviensis (Bolivian squirrel monkey). RNAcentral's name for it is "Metazoan signal recognition particle RNA (ENSSBOG00000005798.1)". It matches the Rfam family "Metazoan signal recognition particle RNA". From Rfam's summary of the family: The signal recognition particle (SRP) is a universally conserved ribonucleoprotein. It is involved in the co-translational targeting of proteins to membranes. The record is from RNAcentral. Lineage: Eukaryota; Metazoa; Chordata; Mammalia; Primates; Cebidae.